CCUACGGGCGGCAGCAGUGGGGAAUAUUGGACAAUGGGGGGAACCCUGAUCCAGCCAUGCCGCGUGUGUGAAGAAGGCCCUCGGGUUGUAAAGCACUUUCAGUGAGGAAGAACGCCUGGUGGUUAAUACCCAUCAGGAAAGACAUCACUCACAGAAGAAGCACCGACUAACUCCGUGCCAGCAGCCGCGGUAAUACGGAGGGUGCGAGCGUUAAUCGGAAUUACUGGGCGUAAAGCGCGCGUAGGUGGCUUGAUAAGCCGGUUGUGAAAGCCCCGGGCUCAACCUGGGAACGGCAUCCGGAACUGUCAAGCUAGAGUGCAGGAGAGGAAGGUAGAAUUCCCGGUGUAGCGGUGAAAUGCGUAGAGAUCGGGAGGAAUACCAGUGGCGAAGGCGGCCUUCUGGACUGACACUGACACUGAGGUGCGAAAGCGUGGGUAGCAAACAGGAUUAGAUACCCCGGUAGUC
RNAcentral lists this ribosomal RNA (465 nucleotides) under Vreelandella stevensii. RNAcentral's name for it is "partial 16S ribosomal RNA". It matches the Rfam family "Bacterial small subunit ribosomal RNA", at positions 338 to 795 of the family's 1533-position model. Lineage: Bacteria; Pseudomonadati; Pseudomonadota; Gammaproteobacteria; Oceanospirillales; Halomonadaceae. The record is from RNAcentral.